RNAcentral lists this ribosomal RNA (497 nucleotides) under uncultured bacterium. RNAcentral describes it as "partial 16S ribosomal RNA". It matches the Rfam family "Bacterial small subunit ribosomal RNA", at positions 28 to 507 of the family's 1533-position model. The record is from RNAcentral.
GAUGAACGCUGGCGGCGUGCCUAAUACAUGCAAGUCGAGCGAACAGAUAAGGAGCUUGCUCCUUUGACGUUAGCGGCGGACGGGUGAGUAACACGUGGGUAACCUACCUAUAAGACUGGGAUAACUUCGGGAAACCGGAGCUAAUACCGGAUAACAUUUGGAACCGCAUGGUUCUAAAGUGAAAGAUGGUUUUGCUAUCACUUAUAGAUGGACCCGCGCCGUAUUAGCUAGUUGGUAAGGUAACGGCUUACCAAGGCGACGAUACGUAGCCGACCUGAGAGGGUGAUCGGCCACACUGGAACUGAGACACGGUCAAGACUCCUACGGGAGGAAGCAGUAGGGAAUCUUCCGCAAUGGGCGAAAGCCUGACGGAGCAACGCCGCGUGAGUGAUGAAGGGUUUCGGCUCGUAAAACUCUGUUAUUAGGGAAGAACAAACGUGUAAGUAACUGUGCACGUCUUGACGGUACCUAAUCAGAAAGCCACGGCUAACUACGUG